This 77-nucleotide transfer RNA is filed under the name Thomasclavelia ramosa. Its description in RNAcentral is "Erysipelatoclostridium ramosum tRNA-Pro". It matches the Rfam family "tRNA". Rfam says of the family: Transfer RNA (tRNA) molecules are approximately 80 nucleotides in length. Their secondary structure includes four short double-helical elements and three loops (D, anti-codon, and T loops). The record is from RNAcentral. Lineage: Bacteria; Bacillati; Bacillota; Erysipelotrichia; Erysipelotrichales; Coprobacillaceae. RNAcentral also lists the same sequence under 1 other name.
UGAGAAGUAGCACAAUUUGGUAGUGCUCGUGGUUUGGGACCACGGGGUUAUGGGUUCAAAUCCCAUCUUCUCAACCA